RNAcentral lists this ribosomal RNA (433 nucleotides) under uncultured bacterium. RNAcentral's name for it is "partial 16S ribosomal RNA". It matches the Rfam family "Bacterial small subunit ribosomal RNA", at positions 29 to 507 of the family's 1533-position model. The record is from RNAcentral.
AACGAACGCUGGCGGCAUGCCUAACACAUGCAAGUCGAACGAGACCUUCGGGUCUAGUGGCGCACGGGUGCGUAACGCGUGGGAAUCUGCCCUUGGGUUCGGAAUAACAGUUGGAAACGACUGCUAAUACCGGAUGAUGACGUAAGUCCAAAGAUUUAUCGCCCAAGGAUGAGCCCGCGUAGGAUUAGCUAGUUGGUGAGGUAAAGGCUCACCAAGGCGACGAUCCUUAGCUGGUCUGAGAGGAUGAUCAGCCACACUGGGACUGAGACACGGCCCAGACUCCUACGGGAGGCAGCAGUGGGGAAUAUUGGACAAUGGGCGAAAGCCUGAUCCAGCAUUGCCGCGUGAGUGAUGAAGGCCUUAGGGUUGUAAAGCUCUUUUACCCGGGAUGAUAAUGACAGUACCGGGAGAAUAAGCUCCGGCUAACUCCGUG